UNCCAUAUAAAGUAUUUAUGGUAGUGCCUGCUCUAUGUAUUAAAAUAUAAAUGGCCGCAGUAUCUUGACUGUGCAAAGGUAGCAUAAUUAAUUGCCUUAUAAUUGAAGGCUUGUCUGAAUGGUUUGACGUGGUAACUAUAAAUAUUUAUUUUUUUAUUGAAAUUGAUUAGGAGGGCACAGAAUCCUUCUUUUUUAAUUAGACGGAAAGACCCCAGGAUCUUUUAUUUUUGUCUGGGGCAGAUGAAAAUCUUUUAUUUUUAUUUUGACCCUCUUUGGUUCAGUGAGUUAAGUUACCCUGGGGAUAACAGUGUAAUAGUUUAUAAGAGGCCUUAUCGAAUAAACUGUUUGCUACCUCGAUGUUGACUUAGGUAAAUAAGCUGGGCGCAGUAGUCUAGCUUUUUGGUCUGUUCGACCUAAAAUACCUCC
Molecule: ribosomal RNA, 426 nt
Filed under: Proteocephalus pirarara
Lineage: Eukaryota; Metazoa; Platyhelminthes; Cestoda; Proteocephalidea; Proteocephalidae
Description: partial 16S ribosomal RNA
Rfam family: Bacterial large subunit ribosomal RNA
Source: RNAcentral